CAAUUGGGGAAUAUUCCAUCAUUGGUUGGGUGUGUGCAUAUUUAAUACCGUAAAUUACUGAAUUCCUGAUUUAGUGUAUUGUGUAUUAGAAUCACUGUUAUACAAAGUGUUAGGGUUGGUAUCUAAAAAGUAUGUCAUGUAUUGACCUGAAGUUUUACAUGCAUAUAAAUCUCUGUGAGCAUAUUAAUUACCGUAAAUUACCAAAUUCAUCAUUUGAGCUAAAGUUUUGCCUUCAUGUGUCUCAUACAGGCGAGCUCUUUGGUAGCCUUGAUACCAAUUCUGAGUUUAACAUAACAUAUAACUGUUCAUUUGUUUUUAUUGCAUUCUUACACCUUUACACUUUUUCUGUAAACUUCAUACUGUUUGUGUUGCUCAUAGAUGUACUUCAUUAAAAUCUAUCUUGUAACAUAUCCAUAGUUUGCCCAUUGUUAUACAAGCAGAGGCUUGGUAAUUUUCCUCUAUCUGUUGCAUACUUCAUUGUCAUCACAUUUAUUAACUAACAUGUAGUUCAUCUUAAAUACAAAUCUCUUAUAACAUCACUUGAGUUUCCUUUUAUCAUACAUGUGGUACCUGUUCAGAGAAAAAAAGCAUAAUUUACAUGUACUUUGUUUUUUUAAUUUUAGGUUUACUUGAAGGAACUCAGCCCCAGCAUUCUUGUCAACCAUGGGGUAGGCCAAUCCUUUCACCUUUCAUGCAGCAGCUUUGAUUUAUUCAAAGGCAUCUUCAAGAAUCUUGUCAGCCAGGAUGUAAGACAAGUCCUGACAUUCACCUUUCGUAAAACACAAAUCCUCUCCAUUCUUCCCCUGAAUACAACAGAAGACAACAUUUUGGGGUGACCAGGGACAUAAAUCCGUCAUCUGCAACUAAUCCAGCCAUCUUUUAUAAACACUUUCACACUUGAUUUUAUAUUUUCACCAUUUAUGACCUAACCUUGUUUGUGCACAGGCAGUCUAAAUC
Long non-coding RNA from Liolophura sinensis, 957 nucleotides. RefSeq lists it as uncharacterized. Lineage: Eukaryota; Metazoa; Mollusca; Polyplacophora; Chitonida; Chitonidae. The record is from RefSeq and is a predicted model, not a curated record. The transcript is spliced from 3 exons.